AGUGAACGCUGGCGGUAGGCCUAACACAUGCAAGUCGAACGGCAGCACAGAGGAGCUUGCUCCUUGGGUGGCGAGUGACGGACGGGUGAGGAAUACAUCGGAAUCUACUCUGUCGUGGGGGAUAACGUAGGGAAACUUACGCUAAUACCGCAUACGACCUACGGGUGAAAGCAGGGGACCUUCGGGCCUUGCGCGAUUGAAUGAGCCGAUGUCGGAUUAGCUAGUUGGCGGGGUAAAGGCCCACCAAGGCGACGAUCCGUAGCUGGUCUGAGAGGAUGAUCAGCCACACUGGAACUGAGACACGGUCCAGACUCCUACGGGAGGCAGCAGUGGGGAAUAUUGGACAAUGGGCGCAAGCCUGAUCCAGCCAUACCGCGUGGGUGAAGAGGGCCUUCGGGUUGUAAAGCCCUUUUGUUGGGAAAGAAAUCCAGCUGGCUAAUACCCGGUUGGGAUGACGGUACCCAAAGAAUAAGCACCGGCUAACUUCGUGCCAGCCGCCGCAGUAA
Molecule: ribosomal RNA, 506 nt
Filed under: uncultured bacterium
Lineage: Bacteria
Description: partial 16S ribosomal RNA
Rfam family: Bacterial small subunit ribosomal RNA
Source: RNAcentral